RNAcentral lists this ribosomal RNA (1398 nucleotides) under beta proteobacterium endosymbiont of Deltocephalus sp. RNAcentral's name for it is "bacterial SSU rRNA". It matches the Rfam family "Bacterial small subunit ribosomal RNA". The record is from RNAcentral. Lineage: Bacteria; Pseudomonadati; Pseudomonadota; Betaproteobacteria.
AGUUGUACGUUUGUAUUUUUUAAUACAGAAGUAGCGAACGGGUGAGUAUAACAUUGUAACAUACCUUAUAAUUUGGGAUACAUUGACGAAAGUUAAUAUAAUACCUUAUAAUAAUAAUCCAAGGAUUAAAGCGGGGAAAACCUCGCGUUUUAAGAUUGAUCAAUGUCUGAUUAGUGAGUUGGUCUUUAAGUUAAAAGCUUACCAAAACUUUUAUCAGUAGCCAUUCUUUACGGAUGUAUGGCCACACUGGGAUUGAGAUACGGCCCAGACCCCUACGGGGGGCAGCAGUGGGGAAUAUUGGACAAUGAGCGCAAGCUUGAUCCAGCAAUGUCACGUGUGUGAUGAAGGGAAACUGUAAAACACUUUUUUUUAAGAAUAAGAAACACUAUUUAAUAAAUAGUAGUUUUUGAAUGUAUUAAAAGAAUAAGUACCGGCUAAUCACGUGCCAGCAGCCGCGGUAAUACGUGGGGUGCAAGCGUUAAUCAGAAUUACUUGGCGUAAAGUGUGCUAAGGUGGUUUAAAAAGUUUUAUAUUAAUUUUAAUUUAUUUUAAUAAUAUAUAAAAUACUUUUAAACUUGAGUAUAAUGUAAGAAAAUAGAAUUUUGUGUGUAACAGUGAAAUGUGUUGAUAUACAAAGGAAUACCGAAGGCGAAAGCAUUUUUCUAAAAUAUUACUGACACUUAUGCACGAAAGCGUGGGGAGCAAACAGGAUUAGAUACCCUGGUAGUCCACGCCCUAAACUAUGUCAAUUAACUAUCAGAAUAUUUUGGUGGUGCAGCUAACGCGUUAAAUUGACCGCCUGGGGACUACGAUCGCAAGAUUAAAACUCAAAGGAAUUGACGGGGACCAGCACAAGCGGUGGAUGAUGUGGAUUAAUUCGAUGAUACACGAAAAACCUUACCUAUUCUUGACAUAGCUUGAAUUUCACUGAAAAGUGACAAAUGCUUGAAAAAGAACCUGCUACAGGUGCUGCAUGGCUGUCGUCAGCUCGUGUCGUGAGAUGUUGGGUUAAGUCCCGCAACGAGCGUAACCCUUACUCUUAGUUGCUAAUUAUAGAACUUUAAGAGAACUGCCAACAAUAAGUUUGGAGGAAGGAGGGGAUGACUUCAAGUCCUCAUGGCCCUUAUGAUUAGGGCUUCACACGUCAUACAAUGGUUGAUACAAAAAGUUGCAAAAUUGUAAAAUUUAGCUAAUCUUUAAAAUCAAUCUUAGUUCGGAUUGUACUCUGCAACUCGAGUACAUAAAGCUGGAAUCGCUAGUAAUCGUGGAUCAGCAUGCCACGGUGAAUAAGUAAACUGGUCUUGUACACACCGCCCGUCACACCAUGGGAAUAAGUUUUAUUUUAAAUAAGAUUUUAAUAGUCUUAUAAAAAUAUAAUUUGUGACUGGGGUGAAGUCG